GAUGAACGCUGGCGGCGUGCCUAAUACAUGCAAGUCGAGCGAACAGACGAGGAGCUUGCUCCUCUGACGUUAGCGGCGGACGGGUGAGUAACACGUGGAUAACCUACCUAUAAGACUGGGAUAACUUCGGGAAACCGGAGCUAAUACCGGAUAAUAUAUUGAACCGCAUGGUUCAAUAGUGAAAGACGGUUUUGCUGUCACUUAUAGAUGGAUCCGCGCCGCAUUAGCUAGUUGGUAAGGUAACGGCUUACCAAGGCAACGAUGCGUAGCCGACCUGAGAGGGUGAUCGGCCACCCUGGAACUGAGACACGGUCCAGCCUCCUACGGGAGGCAGCAGUAGGGAAUCUUCCGCAAUGGGCGAAAGCCUGACGGAGCAACGCCGCGUGAGUGAUGAAGGUCUUCGGAUCGUAAAACUCUUUUAUUAGGGAAGAAAAAAUGUGUAAGUAACUAUGCACGUUUUGACGGUACCAAAUCAAAAAGCCACGGCUAACUACGU
This 496-nucleotide ribosomal RNA is filed under the name uncultured bacterium. Its description in RNAcentral is "partial 16S ribosomal RNA". It matches the Rfam family "Bacterial small subunit ribosomal RNA", at positions 28 to 506 of the family's 1533-position model. The record is from RNAcentral.